UACAGAGGGUGCAAGCGUUGCUCGGAAUCAUUGGGCGUAAAGGGCAGGUAGGUGGUCUCGUUUGUCUGGGGUGAAAGCCUUGGGCUUAACUCAAGAAGUGCCCCGGAAACGGCGAGACUAGAGUACUGGAGAGGUUCGUGGAAUACCCGGUGUAGCGGUGAAAUGCGUAGAGAUCGGGUGGAACACCAGAGGCGAAGGCGGCGAACUGGACAGUAACUGACACUCAACUGCGAAAGCGUGGGGAGCAAACAGG
RNAcentral lists this ribosomal RNA (253 nucleotides) under uncultured bacterium. Its description in RNAcentral is "partial 16S ribosomal RNA". It matches the Rfam family "Bacterial small subunit ribosomal RNA", at positions 524 to 776 of the family's 1533-position model. The record is from RNAcentral.